This 271-nucleotide ribosomal RNA is filed under the name Clostridioides difficile. Its description in RNAcentral is "partial 23S ribosomal RNA". It matches the Rfam family "Bacterial large subunit ribosomal RNA", at positions 1173 to 1451 of the family's 2925-position model. Lineage: Bacteria; Bacillati; Bacillota; Clostridia; Peptostreptococcales; Peptostreptococcaceae. The record is from RNAcentral.
UUCCGGGGCUAAAACUUACUACCGAAGCUACGGCAUCAGGAAUGAUGGGUAGGGGAGCUUCCCAUACGGGUUGAAGCAGGACCGUAAGGACAUGUGGACAGUAUGGGAGGGAGAAUGUUGGCAUGAGUAGCGAGAUGUGGGUGGGAAUCCCACAGGCCGUAAACCCAAGGUUUCCAGGGGAAGGUUCGUCCGCCCUGGGUUAGUCGGGACCUAAGCUGAGGCCGAAAGGCGUAGGUGAUGGACAACAGGUUGAUAUUCCUGUACUACCGAU